This 506-nucleotide ribosomal RNA is filed under the name uncultured bacterium. RNAcentral describes it as "partial 16S ribosomal RNA". It matches the Rfam family "Bacterial small subunit ribosomal RNA", at positions 29 to 523 of the family's 1533-position model. The record is from RNAcentral.
AGUGAACGCUGGCGGUGGGCCUAACACAUGCAAGUCGAACGGCAGCACAGGAGAGCUUGCUCUCUGGGUGGCGAGUGGCGGACGGGUGAGGAAUACAUCGGAAUCUACUCUGUCGUGGGGGAUAACGUAGGGAAACUUACGCUAAUACCGCAUACGACCUACGGGUGAAAGCAGGGGAUCUUCGGACCUUGCGCGAUUGAAUGAGCCGAUGUCGGAUUAGCUAGUUGGCGGGGUAAAGGCCCACCAAGGCGACGAUCCGUAGCUGGUCUGAGGGGAUGAUCAGCCACACUGGAACUGAGAAACGGUCCAGACUCCUACGGGAGGCAGAAGGGGGGAAUAUUGGACAAUAGGCGCAAGCCUGAUCCAGCCAUACCGCGUGGGUGAAGAAGGCCUUCGGGUUGUAAAGCCCUUUUGUUGGGAAAGAAAUCCAGCUGGCUAAUACCCGGUUGGGAUGACGGUACCCAAAGAAUAAGCACCGGCUAACUUCGUGCCAGCCGCCGCAGUAA